GACGAACGCUGGCGGCGUGCCUAAUACAUGCAAGUAGAACGCUGAAGGAGGAGCUUGCUUCUCCGGAUGAGUUGCGAACGGGUGAGUAACGCGUAGGUAACCUGCCUGGGAGCGGGGGAUAACUAUUGGAAACGAUAGCUAAUACCGCAUAAGAGUAGAUGUGGCAUGACAUUUGCUUAAAAGGUGCAAUUGCAUCACUACCAGAUGGACCUGCGGUUUAUUAGCUAGUUGGUGGGGUAACGGCUCACCAAGGCGACGAUUCAUAGGCGACCUGAGAGGGUGGUCGGCCAACCUGGGACCUGGGCACGGCCCAAACUUCUUCGGGGGGCAGCCGGAGGGGAUCUUCGGCCAUGGACGGAAGUCUGACCGAGGAACGCCGCGGGAGAGAAGGAGGUUUUCGGGUCGUAAAGCUCUGUUGUAAGGGAAGAACGAGUGUGAGAGUGGAAAGUUCACACUGUGACGGUAUCUUAACAGAAAGGGACGGCUAACUACGUG
RNAcentral lists this ribosomal RNA (495 nucleotides) under uncultured bacterium. RNAcentral's name for it is "partial 16S ribosomal RNA". It matches the Rfam family "Bacterial small subunit ribosomal RNA", at positions 28 to 507 of the family's 1533-position model. The record is from RNAcentral.